Molecule: transfer RNA, 67 nt
Filed under: Glyphocassis sp. N62
Lineage: Eukaryota; Metazoa; Arthropoda; Insecta; Coleoptera; Chrysomelidae
Description: tRNA-Met
Source: RNAcentral
AAAAAGGUAAGCUAAUAAAGCUAUUGGGUUCAUACCCCAAUUAUGAAAGAAAAUCUUUCCCUCUUUA